RNAcentral lists this ribosomal RNA (494 nucleotides) under uncultured bacterium. RNAcentral's name for it is "partial 16S ribosomal RNA". It matches the Rfam family "Bacterial small subunit ribosomal RNA", at positions 28 to 507 of the family's 1533-position model. The record is from RNAcentral.
GACGAACGCUGGCGGCGUGCUUAACACAUGCAAGUCGGACGGAAAGGCCUGCUUUCCCUUGUGGAUUGCGGGUACUCGAGUGGCGAACGGGUGAGUAACACGUGAGUGAUCUGCCCCCAACUUGGGUAUAAGCCUGGGAAACUGGGUCUAAUUCCCGAUAGGACUGCAGGGUGGUGCCUGUGGUGGAAAACGAUUUUCUAGUGGUUGGGGAUGAGCUCGCGGCCUAUCAGCUUGUUGGUGGGGUAAUGGCCUACCAAGGCGGCGACGGGUAGCCGGCCUGGGAGGGUGGACGGCGAGAUUGGGACUGGGAUACGGCCCAGACUGCUACGGGAGGCAGCAGUUGGGAAUAUUGGACAAUGGGCGGGAGCCUGAUGCAGCGACGCCGCGUGGGGGAUGACGGCCUUCGGGUUGUAAACCCCUUGCGAACGAGAGGAAGCCACCUGGUUGGAAGGGUGGUGACGGUAGUGGUAGAAGAAGCACCGGCUAACUACGUG